GCGGUGGCUCAGUGGUACAGCACUCGCCUGGCAUGUGUGAGGCCCUGGGUUCGAUCCCCAGCACCGCA
RNAcentral lists this transfer RNA (68 nucleotides) under Marmota monax (woodchuck). It matches the Rfam family "tRNA". Rfam says of the family: Transfer RNA (tRNA) molecules are approximately 80 nucleotides in length. Their secondary structure includes four short double-helical elements and three loops (D, anti-codon, and T loops). Lineage: Eukaryota; Metazoa; Chordata; Mammalia; Rodentia; Sciuridae. The record is from Rfam by way of RNAcentral.